RNAcentral lists this ribosomal RNA (421 nucleotides) under uncultured bacterium. RNAcentral describes it as "bacterial SSU rRNA". It matches the Rfam family "Bacterial small subunit ribosomal RNA", at positions 355 to 774 of the family's 1533-position model. The record is from RNAcentral.
UAAGGAAUAUUGGUCAAUGGACGCAAGUCUGAACCAGCCAUGCCGCGUGAAGGAUGAAGGUCCUCUGGAUUGUAAACUUCUUUUAUCUGGGACGAAAACGGGAUUUUUAUCUCAAUUGACGGUACCAGAGGAAUAAGCACCGGCUAACUCCGUGCCAGCAGCCGCGGUAAUACGGAGGGUGCGAGCGUUAUCCGGAUUUACUGGGUUUAAAGGGUGCGUAGGUGGGCUUAUAAGUCAGUGGUGAAAUCUCCGAGCUUAACUUGGAAACUGCCGUUGAUACUAUAGGUCUUGAAUUAUCUGGAGGUAAGCGGAAUAUGUCAUGUAGCGGUGAAAUGCUUAGAUAUGACAUAGAACACCAAUUGCGAAGGCAGCUUACUACAUAUAAAUUGACGCUGAGGCACGAAAGCGUAGGGAUCAAACA